Molecule: long non-coding RNA, 362 nt
Filed under: Solanum tuberosum (potato)
Lineage: Eukaryota; Viridiplantae; Streptophyta; Magnoliopsida; Solanales; Solanaceae
Description: long non-coding RNA (STUB_LNC003123)
Source: RNAcentral
ACUUCAAAGCUUGAUCUCAUCUCUUUUCGUUCAAUAGUUUAGUACUAUUAUUGUUGGCGCAGAAGGAGUUCAUCUUGAAUGUGCACAUGCUAUUUUCACAUAGUAGAUUUAUUCUUCACAACAAUCAAACUAUAUACAUUUUUACAUAGAGGUUGCAUUGUUGGGUUAGCUAGAUAAAAACCCAACUGACACAACGUAGGUAAGGCAUUUACUUUUCAAGAUUUCUAAAACAAGGGGAACAUGUACACACCAAUAAUUUUCAAACUUCCCUGAAGAUUAUUGAUUCCUUGAAACAUUUGUUAAUGUGAUGUUGAAAUACAGCGCAGUGUCAUAGCUGCCAUCAAUCCAGAAGGAAUAUUUAC